CGGCCAUGGACCCGGCCAGGAGGGGCUGAGGCUGGUCCGCUUUCCUGGGGUGUGCAGAGCCACAGGCUGUUUACCAACUGCCUUUUCUGCCCACUGGCUCUCUUAAUCCGCACAACAACCCAGACAGCAAUUCAGCCGAGUAUUUAUUCAACAUCAACUAUGUGCCCAGUAGAGGAGGCAGGGCAUAGAACACAACCGGAGAUGAAUCAACGCCUGAAUCAGCCCCUGUCAAAAGCAGUGCUUUCUUUGACCGGACUUGAGGAAUGCAGACAUGACAGCCUUACCAGAAGAUUGCCACCAGGCUCACGCCCUGUACUCCGUAAUAUAUUAAAGACCUCGUCCAUGAUGGCCUGUGACUACAAGACGGUGCAACAGGGAAGGAAUGGAAGUCCCCAGGUGGCUAAUUGUGCUUUUGUUCAUCAAUAGGGAGAUCUACCCCCAAAUAAUGUUUUUAAGUGUCCUUUUUGUUUGGUGCCCAGAAGGAUUUUAUAUCCUGGGAGAGGACGCCUCAGCAGUAAGGUCGGGAAUGUGUAAAGGAAACACCUGUUUUUUUGUGACCUGGGAGAAGGGCAGUUAUAAAGGGGGCAGAGUGAGAAAAGGAAAACCAAAUAUUUGAGAACAUGCACUUGAUAAAAUUAGCCACAUGUCAAGCCCAUUGGGGAGUCCUAUCGUGUGGAAUGUCUUUGUUCAUCUGUAUACCACACACACACAUGCACACUCACUCACACUCACAAGCUCACACUCAUGUAUACUCCCAAACACUCUCGUAUACCUUCAGGCUUACCAACACUCUUGCACUCAUGCACACAUAUACACUCAAGACUCACAUACACACACACCUUCACACACACUCUCACACUUACAUAUGCUCACAAAGUCACACAUGCUGAAACAUAGGCUGGCAUCCGCACACACUCAUGCUCACUCACACACUCACAUGCUCACAUCCAUGCACACCCACAGUCACUGCAGUCACACAUAUUGCAGAUGAUGGUGGAAGGCCCAGAGAGGUUUUUCUACUUGCUUAGGUCACACAGCAAAGAUCACUGCUCUAGGACAUUAUCUAUGGCUUCCUUCACUCAGGCUACAAGCCUCACUUCCUUUCUAGGAGACUGGGGGUGAUCUGAUUUUUUUUGUGUGGAGAUGUUCAGUCCUGUGCUCCCCUGGAAUGAUAAGGUGCCAGGUCCUAAAGUGUGCACUAAUUCCCCAGCUGCCCACUGCUGGGUCAGCAACGCUCUGCCUGCACCCGGAAUCAGCAGUCAUUCUCUGUGAGGCAGUGCAGCCACGGAGAGCUGUCCUAAUAGCAUAAAAGCUCAGGAAUGUACUUAAUUAAUGGUUGGUUCUGGCAUCAGUCGCUGGCUGGUGGCAAACAGGAGUCAUUAUUAAUGUGCUUGGACACACUUCUUCCCCGUGUGGUCCUGUAUGCCCAGUGAAAGGCAGCACGGUUGCCUGAUGGGGUCCAUCAUCUUGGGAUAUAGUCCAGGCCUUCCCCUGUUGUGCUAUGUGACUUCAAGCAAAUAAAAAACCUCUCUGAGCCUCCCAUCAAUUUCUGCAGAGUUUGUGUGUGU
Suricata suricatta (meerkat) is the source of this 1568-nucleotide long non-coding RNA. RefSeq lists it as uncharacterized. NCBI's taxonomy places the organism in Eukaryota, Metazoa, Chordata, Mammalia, Carnivora, Herpestidae. The record is from RefSeq and is a predicted model, not a curated record. The transcript has 3 exons.